Long non-coding RNA from Antechinus flavipes (yellow-footed antechinus), 526 nucleotides. RefSeq lists it as uncharacterized. The transcript is spliced from 5 exons. The record is from RefSeq and is a predicted model, not a curated record. NCBI's taxonomy places the organism in Eukaryota, Metazoa, Chordata, Mammalia, Dasyuromorphia, Dasyuridae.
CAUUUGAACGGUCGCGCUGAAGAAGCCGCGGAGCUUAUGGUAGCAUCGAUCCCGGCCGGAACUGAAUCCCCGCCGCGAGCGGCCUGACGUUCCUCGCGGCCCCUGGCCAACAGAGCUGUUGUUACCUGAAAAGUAACUCUUCAAAGAUGGAUCGAUUUUGCCAGAGCCUAGUGAGGAAAAUAACCAUAAAGAACAGACUGGCCGAAGGCGGCGUUCUUCAAUUUUGAAACCCCCACGUAGUCCUCUUCAAGACAUAAGAAGUGGAAAUGAAAUUAGUCAGGACUUCAUCACUACAAGAAGCCGGAAAAGCUCUCGUCGGGUCAGCUUUGCAGAAACCAUUCGGUAAGUUUAAAAAGGAGGUGAUUUAUAAAUUAUACUACUAAUGUGUUAAGCCCUAUGGGAUAAUAGAAGAAGUAAAUAGGAUAGUCUCUCGUUGGAUUAAACAAGCAUUUGAAAGUUCUAGUCUUGAAAAGUUUGUUUAAGCUUAUGUAAAGAUUGAGAUGUAUAGAUAUCUUGAAGAAAGGAA